GUGGUGUGACUGCGUACCUUUUGUAUAAUGGGUCAGCGACUUAUAUUCUGUAGCAAGGUUAACCGUAUAGGGGAGCCGAAGGGAAACCGAGUCUUAACUGGGCGUUAAGUUGCAGGGUAUAGACCCGAAACCCGGUGAUCUAGCCAUGGGCAGGUUGAAGGUUGGGUAACACUAACUGGAGGACCGAACCGACUAAUGUUGAAAAAUUAGCGGAUGACUUGUGGCUGGGGGUGAAAGGCCAAUCAAACCGGGAGAUAGCUGGUUCUCCCCGAAAGCUAUUUAGGUAGCGCCUCGUGAACUCAUCUUCGGGGGUAGAGCACUGUUUCGGCUAGGGGGCCAUCCCGGCUUACCAACCCGAUGCAAACUACGAAUACCGAAGAAUGUUAUCACGGGAGACACACGGCGGGUGCUAACGUCCGUCGUGAAGAGGGAAACAACCCAGACCGCCAGCUAAGGUCCCAAAGUCAUGGUUAAGUGGGAAACGAUGUGGGAAGGCACAGACAGCCAGGAUGUUGGCUUAGAAGCAGCCAUCAUUUAAAGAAAGCGUAAUAGCUCACUGGUCGAGUCGGCCUGCGCGGAAGAUGUAACGGGGCUAAACCAUGCACCGAAGCUGCGGCAGCGACGCUUAUGCGUUGUUGGGUAGGGGAGCGUUCUGUAAGCCGUUGAAGGUGUCCUGUGAGGGGUGCUGGAGGUAUCAGAAGUGCGAAUGCUGACAUAAGUAACGAUAAUGCGGGUGAAAAGCCCGCACGCCGGAAGACCAAGGGUUCCUGUCCAACGUUAAUCGGGGCAGGGUGAGUCGACCCCUAAGGCGAGGCCGAAAGGCGUAGUCGAUGGGAAACAGGUUAAUAUUCCUGUACUUGGUGUUACUGCGAAGGGGGGACGGAGAAGGCUAUGUUAGCCGGGCGACGGUUGUCCCGGUUUAAGCAUGUAGGCGGGAAGUUUAGGUAAAUCCGGACUUCUUUUAACGCUGAGGUGUGAUGACGAGGCACUACGGUGCUGAAGUAACAAAUGCCCUGCUUCCAGGAAAAGCCUCUAAGCAUCAGGUAACAUCAAAUCGUACCCCAAACCGACACAGGUGGUCAGGUAGAGAAUACCAAGGCGCUUGAGAGAACUCGGGUGAAGGAACUAGGCAAAAUGGUGCCGUAACUUCGGGAGAAGGCACGCUGAUAUGUAGGUGAAGCCCCUGCGGGUGGAGCUGAAAUCAGUCGAAGAUACCAGCUGGCUGCAACUGUUUAUUAAAAACACAGCACUGUGCAAACACGAAAGUGGACGUAUACGGUGUGACGCCUGCCCGGUGCCGGAAGGUUAAUUGAUGGGGUUAGCGGUAACGCGAAGCUCUUGAUCGAAGCCCCGGUAAACGGCGGCCGUAACUAUAACGGUCCUAAGGUAGCGAAAUUCCUUGUCGGGUAAGUUCCGACCUGCACGAAUGGCGUAAUGAUGGCCAGGCUGUCU
Molecule: ribosomal RNA, 1452 nt
Filed under: Enterobacter sp. RIT637
Lineage: Bacteria; Pseudomonadati; Pseudomonadota; Gammaproteobacteria; Enterobacterales; Enterobacteriaceae
Description: partial 23S ribosomal RNA
Rfam family: Bacterial large subunit ribosomal RNA
Source: RNAcentral